CGUAGGGUGCGAGCGUUAAUCGGAAUUACUGGGCGUAAAGCGUGCGCAGGCGGUGAUGUAAGACAGUUGUGAAAUCCCCGGGCUCAACCUGGGAACUGCAUCUGUGACUGCAUCGCUGGAGUGCGGCAGAGGGGGAUGGAAUUCCGCGUGUAGCAGUGAAAUGCGUAGAUAUGCGGAGGAACACCGAUGGCGAAGGCAAUCCCCUGGGCCUGCACUGACGCUCAUGCACGAAAGCGUGGGGAGCAAACAGGAUUAGAUACCCUGGUAGUCCACGCCCUAAACGAUGUCAACUGGUUGUUGGGAAUUCACUUACUCAGUAACGAAGCUAACGCGUGAAGUUGACCGCCUGGGGAGUACGGCCGCAAGGUUG
This 370-nucleotide ribosomal RNA is filed under the name uncultured organism. RNAcentral describes it as "bacterial SSU rRNA". It matches the Rfam family "Bacterial small subunit ribosomal RNA", at positions 526 to 896 of the family's 1533-position model. The record is from RNAcentral.